GUGAGGAAUAUUGGUCAAUGGGCGAAAGCCUGAACCAGCCAUGUCGCGUGAAGGAUGAAGGUCCUAUGGAUUGUAAACUUCUUUUGCAGGAGGGUAAAGUGAGCUACGUGUGGUUCAUUGCAAGUACCCUGCGAAUAAGCAUCGGCUAACUCCGUGCCAGCAGCCGCGGUAAUACGGAGGAUGCGAGCGUUAUCCGGAUUUAUUGGGUUUAAAGGGUGCGUAGGCGGACUAAUUAGUCAGCGGUGAAAUUUUGCGGCUCAACCGUAAAACUGCCGUUGAAACUGUUAGUCUUGAGUGCGGUAGAGGUAGGCGGAAUGUGUGGUGUAGCGGUGAAAUGCUUAGAUAUCACACAGAACACCGAUUGCGUAGGCAGCUUACUGGAGCGCAACUGACGCUGAGGCACGAAAGCGUGGGGAUCGAGCAGGAUUAGAUACCCCGGUAGUCC
RNAcentral lists this ribosomal RNA (445 nucleotides) under uncultured bacterium. Its description in RNAcentral is "partial 16S ribosomal RNA". It matches the Rfam family "Bacterial small subunit ribosomal RNA", at positions 354 to 796 of the family's 1533-position model. The record is from RNAcentral.